GGGAACAUCUUGCCCUCAACAGCAGGGAAUAGGUCUAAGAAAAUUCAUAUAAAUGCAUAAUCUUCAUAGUAUUACUUAGAUCAGCAAAACGGGAACACCAUUGGAGGUGCUCAAAAGGCGUGUGGCUGAAAUUGAGUGGAGAGGGAUGCAGGAUGGCGCAGGAAGAUGGUGAGAACUCAGCUGUGAGGAAGGCGCAGAACAUGGGCUGCGGGAAGGCGUGCAGAGUGAGAGAACUCAGGUGUGAGGAAGGCACAGAACACGGGCUGCGGGAAUGUGCAGAGUGAGCAGGAUUCACUCUGGACAGA
RNAcentral lists this long non-coding RNA (305 nucleotides) under Homo sapiens (human). RNAcentral's name for it is "HSALNT0049613". The record is from RNAcentral. Lineage: Eukaryota; Metazoa; Chordata; Mammalia; Primates; Hominidae.